Molecule: non-coding RNA, 581 nt
Organism: Taeniopygia guttata (zebra finch)
Lineage: Eukaryota; Metazoa; Chordata; Aves; Passeriformes; Estrildidae
Source: RefSeq, a predicted model, not a curated record
CGUCAGGCAGAAUCACAGCCAAUAUGAACUUCCAAUGCUCAAUGACUCUUUGAUCAGUAUAAUCAAAAUGCAUCUCAGCAACUGAAAUGCUGCAAAAGUAACAAAAUGCUGUCUUGUGAUCGUGGAAAUUAAACUUAUUUCAAACACUAACACUUAGGGAGAGCAUGCAUGACUUGGCUUCUGCAUUUUUUAAAGAUUAACAUAUUGUGAUCUCCUUUGAGCAAAAGAUAUAUUCUGUAACUCAGGCAGUACUUCUCUAUUGCCUUCUUCAAAGGAGUUGCAUAUGAAGGUAAAUAAAUAAAGCACAGUGAGAAGCACACUAUUUACUAAGACCUAAGUGAAACAGAAAACAUUUGAAAGACCAAGAAAAAGGAGUAUCUGUUUAUGCUUCUACAAAUUGAAACCCCACUGGCAAUGCGCUGGAGAACAGAGCUGAGCACAAUAACACAUCAGCCUGGCGAUUAGUUCAAGCACACUGUUAUGGCCUGAGUAUGCCAACAUUUAGACCUGACACAAGAUCAAAAGGCUGAUAAAUGAGAGGAAAGGGGAUGUUUGACCCACUAAACCAUAUUCUACAAGAA